GCAGGUUUAUUGGAUUCGAGCAGACCAGACUCCUCUUCCAGCAGCAGCACAACCAAAGAGCCAAACAUUAGCGUCGAAAGCUGUAAUCAAACGUGCAAUCCUUCAAAAAAUCUCACAUGUUCAAAUGGCACCUGCUUCUGCGUACUUCUGAACAACGCUACCGAAGGCACUUGUUACACCUGGUCGGGAGACGGAAUCGAUGAAUACUAUGACCCUUCAAAUGACAGUCUAGAUGCGGCCACACCACGAGCACAAAAUGGAGAUAAAUAAAGAACUCGUUCUCAUCAAA
Molecule: long non-coding RNA, 289 nt
Organism: Dermacentor silvarum
Lineage: Eukaryota; Metazoa; Arthropoda; Arachnida; Ixodida; Ixodidae
Exons: 2
Source: RefSeq, a predicted model, not a curated record